AGUGAACGCUGGCGGUAGGCCUAACACAUGCAAGUCGAACGGCAGCACAGGAGAGCUUGCUCUCUGGGUGGCGAGUGGCGGACGGGUGAGGAAUACAUCGGAAUCUACUCUGUCGUGGGGGAUAACGUAGGGAAACUUACGCUAAUACCGCAUACGACCUACGGGUGAAAGCAGGGGACCUUCGGGCCUUGCGCGAUUGAAUGAGCCGAUGUCGGAUUAGCUAGUUGGCGGGGUAAAGGCCCACCAAGGCGACGAUCCGUAGCUGGUCUGAGGGGAUGAUCAGCCAAACUGGAACUGGGACACGGUCCAGACUCCUACGGGAGGCAGCAGUGGGGAAUAUUGGACAAUGGGCGCAAGCCUGCUCCAGCCAUACCGCGUGGGUGAAGAAGGCCUUCGGGUUGUAAAGCCCUUUUGUUGGGAAAGAAAUCCAGCUGGCUAAUACCCGGUUGGGAUGACGGUACCCAAAGAAUAAGCACCGGCUAACUUCGUGCCAGCCGCCGCCGUAA
RNAcentral lists this ribosomal RNA (506 nucleotides) under uncultured bacterium. RNAcentral describes it as "partial 16S ribosomal RNA". It matches the Rfam family "Bacterial small subunit ribosomal RNA", at positions 29 to 523 of the family's 1533-position model. The record is from RNAcentral.